CAGUCCAACGUGACGGGGACCCUGCCUGUAAGAGGAGAUGUACACAGCCUGACAGGGCCGAAGCCAACUCACAGUGAGGUGCCAUCCGGGUAACCUUUGGGAGCAGAUGAGCAUUGGAGGUAUCCCAGAAGAUGACAGCACGUUGUCCAAGUCUGG
Long non-coding RNA from Pipra filicauda (Wire-tailed manakin), 156 nucleotides. RefSeq lists it as uncharacterized. Lineage: Eukaryota; Metazoa; Chordata; Aves; Passeriformes; Pipridae. The transcript has 4 exons. The record is from RefSeq and is a predicted model, not a curated record.